Long non-coding RNA from Ailuropoda melanoleuca (giant panda), 985 nucleotides. RefSeq lists it as uncharacterized. The record is from RefSeq and is a predicted model, not a curated record. NCBI's taxonomy places the organism in Eukaryota, Metazoa, Chordata, Mammalia, Carnivora, Ursidae. The transcript has 3 exons.
UUAUCACCUGGGGGGUCUGGAAUGAAGGAUGGGAGGAGACUGAAGGAGCCCAUCCUGCCUAGGAGGAAAAAAAAUCGAAGCCAAACUCUUUCUCAUCAGCAGCUCUGCAAGAUGGACCUACGCAGGCCUGGUGCCUCAUUCUUUUUGGACUUGGAACUGUGAGCCCACCCUAUUUUCCAGCCAGUUUGAAAGGAAAAACAAGUCCACCUUAUAAGAUGAAAUGGCACUUCCCCUUUGUUCCUCGUUCUCACAGAUCCCUUCAUGCACACGCGAGAAGGAACACGAUGGUACAAACCCAUCUUUUAAAAACUGUGGUUAUUCCUAGUGUCCUCGUGUUAAAGGAUUUUACCCACAGAAGAAGUUCCUUGGGUGAACUUUAAUUUUCCUACAACCACUUUCAGCCCCAAGGAGGACACUUUCCGAUUUGGACACUGGAUAAUAAAACAAGAAGAAAAACGUUAUUGCUUUUAAUACCAGCAGCUAAGCACCUUAGGUACUCUGGCUAGAGGAUAUGGUCAGUGAACACGAGAGGAAUAAGAUGGAAAGAACUGCCUGCAGCUUCUGGUUCCAAACACAGUGGGUCAAGUUCUAGUCAGUACCGAUCGCCCUGGAUCCCAAAAGCAUUCGAGAGCUGGGACCUGUUUUUCACCUGGCUCAGGUAUCUUGUAGUGCUGUUUCUAUUUUUCAGCCUAAGAAGAGAAGUCUGCUCUUCCACCAGAAGCUUACACAUUCAGCGGCAUGAAGAAAGAGGGAUGGACAAAGUCAUCUGUAGACAUCUUUCUCGCUCUUCGACUCCCCGAAUCUGAGAAUCAGAUACUUCGGGUAUGAGAAAUCCAGUACACUGGAAAGAUGGCUGAAUUUUGUGCUAGAAUACCUGAGUUUAAAUGCAGAUUUGGAUUAUGAGUUGAAUGAGCUUCAAUAAAUUUAAAAUUUUUUUCAGCUUUUUAAAAAUAGCUUUACUGAGGAAUAAUUUACAUACCGUAAA